RNAcentral lists this ribosomal RNA (433 nucleotides) under uncultured cyanobacterium. RNAcentral describes it as "bacterial SSU rRNA". It matches the Rfam family "Bacterial small subunit ribosomal RNA", at positions 28 to 505 of the family's 1533-position model. The record is from RNAcentral. Lineage: Bacteria; Bacillati; Cyanobacteriota.
GAUGAACGCUGGCGGCGUGCUUAACACAUGCAAGUCGAACGAGACUCUUCGGAGUUUAGUGGCGGACGGGUGAGUAACGCGUGAGAAUCUGCCUAAAGGUGGGGGAUAACUAUUGGAAACGAUAGGUAAUACCGCAUAUGCCGAGAGGUGAAAGCCUUGUGUGCCUUUAGAUGAGCUCGCGUCUGAUUAGUUAGUUGGUGGGGUAAGAGCUUACCAAGACGACGAUCAGUAGCUGUUCUGAGAGGAAGAUCAGCCACACUGGGACUGAGACACGGCCCAGACUCCUACGGGAGGCAGCAGUGGGGAAUUUUCCGCAAUGGGCGAAAGCCUGACGGAGCAACGCCGCGUGAGGGAGGAAUGUCUUUGGAUUGUAAACCUCUUUUCUCUAGGAAGAUAAUGACGGUACUAGAGGAAUCAGCAUCGGCUAACUCCG